Long non-coding RNA from Tupaia belangeri chinensis (Chinese tree shrew), 2355 nucleotides. RefSeq lists it as uncharacterized. NCBI's taxonomy places the organism in Eukaryota, Metazoa, Chordata, Mammalia, Scandentia, Tupaiidae. The transcript is spliced from 2 exons. The record is from RefSeq and is a predicted model, not a curated record.
GGCUGAGACACACCGGAAGGCCUUCCCUGGCCUGUCCACCAGCCGAGGCCUGGUGGAGCCACUGACGUGGGUUACUCCCUCGGCCCGUGGGUGACAAGUCCUCCCCAUGCAGCCUCCUUGAUGUGUGGUCUCGACAGACCCAGAGUUGCCUCGCGCCCGUUCAUGUCUUGAGAGAGCUAGGUCGACUUGGAACCCCUUUCAAGAUGGUCUCUGUCGGACCGCUGUGGGUCUACAAGUUGCACAUGCCUUCCCGGCAGGCACCUGAUGGGGCUCGCGCUCCAGUGUGCCGUACUGUCCGUGCGCGAGCACCGGCAGGCACGGGCUUUUCUGACACCGUGUACAUCCACCCGACUGUUCCUCCACACCCGUGACGUUAGAGAUGGCCACGUCCUUCGCUCGGUUCCAUAAGCCACACGAGUCCGUGGGCUCAGGUUGGAAGAUUCCAAGGGAGGAGAGUCUUUCCGUGGUCUCCCUCCACGUGUCUUGUCAGGAAGCAGUGGCUCUGUCACUGUGUCACUGCCCAGCGAGCCCAGCCCCUUUCUCCAGGGCCGUGGGGAUGGACUGGGCCGCAUGCCGAGUGCUCAGUGCUGGGCAGAGCCAGGAGAGGCGGCGGCCCUGCAAGUGGUCCUGGAAGGGGAAGGGAUGUGCUUGGGUCUCUCCAUUUACAGCCCUCGCAGGAGUGGGACCGUGGUUGGGUGUUCUUGGAGGCAGAAGCUAGACGUUGCGAGAUAAAAAUAAAUUGUCAGGGGAUGUUUGCCAUUCCAAUCCCGGUCCCUGCCAGGAGGGUGGAGGACGCUGGGGGGGAGGGUCACGAAGGGCAGUUGAGCUCUGCCAGGCGUCAGCUCCUCCCCGAAGGCUUCCCGGGAUUCACACGCCAGGGUCACAGCUCUGGCUCAUUCCAGAAAGUGCCGUCUUACAUGGUCGUGACUACCCUUCACAGAGAGAGAGAAGAAACACUUUAAAAAGCUUGUAUUGUUGGGAGCUGGAGUUCUCUGAGCCGUCGUUUGAGGCCCCAGAAGGGAUCUCCAGAGGGCGAGAUCAAACGCUUGUGGGGAGCAGGCGGCUGGCUCAGGGCGGACCUGGUUCUGCCUGGCCCGGGUCGGAGGAGGUUACUGGGCCAUGCUUCAGUGACUGAUUUUGCCCAUCUGGAUUUCUGGCCUCAAGGGAUAUUCUUACGCAGGGUGGACCAGGAACCCCUCAGUUGUGGAACGGCCACACGGAGGUGGACCAGGAACCCCUCAGUUGUGGAACGGCCACACGGAGGGUCGCGAAGACUGCCACAAGCUGUAAUUUGGCAAGGAUAGGCAAUACCGUGGCUUACGGAAGUCACCUCACGUCUCGGAGAAAGUUCUGGUCUGGGCAAUGUCUGUGGACUAGUCUGAGAUGAACUAGUUAUGCACAGUUGAGUGACUAAGGGUUUGGGACCCACCAGAAGAGAGGGGGCUUAGGUCUCAGGAGCAUCGUCAGCAUGAGUCCCAGCCAGUGAGGGGCGAUGGCAGGAGCAGAGGGCGGCAGACCGAGUGUGGGUGAGCCGCACGUGGACUCAGACUGCUCCCGGGCGCGGCUCUGGAAAUACCGCGUGCAGUCGUGUAAGGUGCACCGUGCAAGUCGGGAGGCCGGGCUGAGUGUCAGUAUGCUUUCAGCGGAGGCCGUGAGGAGCCCGGAGGGGCGUGCGAGGUGCAGAGAGGCCUUGGUUGUGGACUCAUGCCUGUCUGCGGCCCUGCCACAGCGGAUAAUGGUGUGGACUGAACCCACCCUCGCGCUCCCAGAAGGGGUCUGCCCUCAUGUUGGUUUGGUGAGCUGGCGGUUGGUGCUGGCAGCACAGACCAGGCUGCCCACGCAGGGCACCGCGAGCUCUCUCUGUCACUGAUGGAGGCGGGGCCUGGCUUCGUGGCUUUGCCCUCUGUGUUGAAUUGUAGCAGUGUCCCCAAAGGCAGGGUGGGCUGGUAAGGGCUGCAGACCGAGUGAGGCGUCCACCAGCUGACCAGUCCAGUCUGCCCUCACCCCGUCCCCCUGCUCGGGAGUCAGGAAGGUCUUUGCUUUGGGAAACUCCUCUCUCUGUCUCCCCUUCCUUCAUCCCCACCCCCCAAGGUCUGGGUGUGGUAGCAGCUCUCUGUUCUGUGGCAGGGGUGCACCCUAGUGGCUGGCUGGUAUUCCUCAUCCCCCUUAUUCCUUUUGAAUGGGGGUGGGGGCAUAAAAUGUGUGUAUGGGUACAUGCAAUAAUGUUGUAAUGUUUCUUGUUGUUUAAUGGAUAAUUAAUUGUAAAAUAAUUGUUUAAAUUAUAACAUGUUUGAGUAAAUGCUAAACUAGUGUUUUGUCUAAUAUAACAAUGAAUUUGAAUCUAGCUUCCUGUAA